Molecule: ribosomal RNA, 494 nt
Filed under: uncultured bacterium
Lineage: Bacteria
Description: partial 16S ribosomal RNA
Rfam family: Bacterial small subunit ribosomal RNA
Source: RNAcentral
GACGAACGCUGGCGGCGUGCUUAACACAUGCAAGUCGAACGGUGAAGCGCCUUCCUUUUUGGUGGGUGUGGAUGAGUGGCGAACGGGUGAGUAACACGUGAGUAACCUGCCCCCUUCUUCUGGAUAACCGCAUGAAAGUGUUGCUAAUACGGGAUAUUCUGGGUCUGUCGCAUGAUGGGUCUGGGAAAGAUAUUGUUUCGGUGGGGGAUGGGCUCGCGGCCUAUCAGCUUGUUGGUGGGGUGAUGGCCUACCAAGGCGGUGACGGGUAGCCGGCCUGAGAGGGUGGACGGUCACACUGGGACUGAGACACGGCCCAGACUCCUACGGGAGGCAGCAGUGGGGAAUAUUGCACGAUGGGCGCAAGCCUGAUGCAGCGACGCCGCGUGAGGGAUGGAGGCCUUCGGGUUGUGAACCUCUUUCGCCAGUGAAGCAGGCCUGCCUCGUUUGUGGGUGGGUUGACGGUAGCUGGAGAAGAAGCGCCGGCUAACUACGUG